CAAGCCUCCCGGUCAAAUCGUCU
This 23-nucleotide non-coding RNA is filed under the name Arabidopsis thaliana (thale cress). The record is from RNAcentral. Lineage: Eukaryota; Viridiplantae; Streptophyta; Magnoliopsida; Brassicales; Brassicaceae.